AGUGAACGCUGGCGGUAGGCCUAACACAUGCAAGUCGAACGGCAGCACAGUAAGAGCUUGCUCUUACGGGUGGCGAGUGGCGGACGGGUGAGGAAUACAUCGGAAUCUACUUUUUCGUGGGGGAUAACGUAGGGAAACUUACGCUAAUACCGCAUACGACCUACGGGUGAAAGCAGGGGAUCUUCGGACCUUGCGCGAUUGAAUGAGCCGAUGUCGGAUUAGCUAGUUGGCGGGGUAAAGGCCCACCAAGGCGACGAUCCGUAGCUGGUCUGAGAGGAUGAUCAGCCACACUGGGACUGAGACGCGGUCCAGACUCCUACGGGAGGCAGCAGUGGGGAAUAUUGGACAAUGGGCGCAAGCCUGAUCCAGCCAUACCGCGUGGGUGAAGAAGGCCUUCGGGUUGUAAAGCCCUUUUGUUGGGAAAGAAAAGCAGCAGGUUAAUACCCCGCUGUUCUGACGGUACCCAAAGAAUAAGCACCGGCUAACUUCGUG
RNAcentral lists this ribosomal RNA (492 nucleotides) under uncultured bacterium. RNAcentral describes it as "partial 16S ribosomal RNA". It matches the Rfam family "Bacterial small subunit ribosomal RNA", at positions 29 to 507 of the family's 1533-position model. The record is from RNAcentral.